This 325-nucleotide ribosomal RNA is filed under the name uncultured eukaryote. RNAcentral describes it as "partial 18S ribosomal RNA". It matches the Rfam family "Eukaryotic small subunit ribosomal RNA", at positions 1470 to 1796 of the family's 1831-position model. The record is from RNAcentral.
CCCUUAGAUGUUCUGGGCUGCACGCGCGCUACACUGAUGCGCUCAACGAGUUUUGAACUUGCCCGGAAGGGUUGGUUAAUCUUUUUAAAACGCAUCGUGAUGGGGAUAGAUUAUUGCAAUUAUUAAUCUUCAACGAGGAAUUCCUAGUAAGCGCGAGUCAUCAGCUCGUGCUGAUUACGUCCCUGCCCUUUGUACACACCGCCCGUCGCUCCUACCGAUUGAGUGGUCCGGUGAAGUCUCGAGAUUGUGGCAAUCUCCUUUAUUGGAGUUUGACUGCGAGAACUUGCCUAAACCUUAUCACUUAGAGGAAGGUGAANUCGUANCA